RNAcentral lists this ribosomal RNA (253 nucleotides) under uncultured bacterium. RNAcentral describes it as "partial 16S ribosomal RNA". It matches the Rfam family "Bacterial small subunit ribosomal RNA", at positions 524 to 776 of the family's 1533-position model. The record is from RNAcentral.
UACGUAGGGAGCAAGCGUUGUCCGGAAUCAUUGGGCGUAAAGCGCGCGUAGGUGGCUUCGUAAGUCCGUUGUGAAAGUCAAAGGCUCAACCUUUGAAAGCCGAUGGAUACUGUGAAGCUAGAGUACGGAAGAGGCGAGUGGAAUUCCUGGUGUAGCGGUGGAAUGCGCAGAUAUCAGGAGGAACACCUGUGGUGUAGACGGCUCUCUGGACCGCAACUGACGCUGAGACACGAAAGCGUGGGUAGCAAACAGG